CUCCGGUUGAUCCUGCCGGACCCGACUGCUAUCAGAGUGGGACUAAGCCAUGCGAGUCGACGUAGCAAUGCGUGGCGAACGGCUCAGUAACACGUAGUCAACAUGCCCAGGGGACGUGGAUAACCUCGGGAAACUGAGAAUAAACCACGAUAGGUCACGAUUUCUGGAAUGGAUCAUGGCCUAAAUCUACAUGGCCCCUGGAUUGGACUGCGGCCGAUCAGGCUGUUGGUGAGGUAAUGGCCCACCAAACCUAUAACCGGUACGGGCUCUGAGAGGAGAAGCCCGGAGAUGGGCACUGAGACAAGGGCCCAGGCCCUAUGGGGCGCAGCAGGCGCGAAACCUCUGCAAUAGGCGAAAGCCUGACAGGGUUACUCUGAGUGAUUUCCGCUAAGGGGAUCUUUUGGCACCUCUAAAAAUGGUGCAGAAUAAGGGGUGGGCAAGUCUGGUGUCAGCCGCCGCGGUAAUACCAGCACCCCGAGUGGUCGGGACGAUUAUUGGGCCUAAAGCAUCCGUAGCCGGUUCUGCAAGUCUUCCGUUAAAUCCAGCCGCUCAACGGAUGGGCCGCGGAGGAUACUACAGGACUAGGAGGCGGGAGAGGCAAGCGGUACUCAGUGGGUAGGGGUAAAAUCCUUUGAUCCAUUGAAGACCACCAGUGGCGAAGGCGGCUUGCCAGAACGCGCUCGACGGUGAGGGAUGAAAGCUGGGGGAGCAAACCGGAUUAGAUACCCGGGUAGUCCCAGCUGUAAACGAUGCAGACUCGGUGAUGGGCUAGCCUUGUGCCAGCCCAGUGCCGCAGGGAAGCCGUUAAGUCUGCCGCCUGGGGAGUACGGUCGCAAGACUGAAACUUAAAGGGAUUGGCGGGGGAGCA
This 868-nucleotide ribosomal RNA is filed under the name uncultured archaeon. RNAcentral's name for it is "bacterial SSU rRNA". It matches the Rfam family "Archaeal small subunit ribosomal RNA", at positions 1 to 878 of the family's 1478-position model. The record is from RNAcentral.